RNAcentral lists this small nucleolar RNA (75 nucleotides) under Neurospora crassa. RNAcentral describes it as "box C/D snoRNA CD47". Lineage: Eukaryota; Fungi; Ascomycota; Sordariomycetes; Sordariales; Sordariaceae. The record is from RNAcentral.
CAACAUGAUGCACAACAUACCAUAGCGACUAGGUUCGCCGAUGCUGUUGCUAAAUACCAUCUUUCGGGUCUGACA